This 463-nucleotide long non-coding RNA is filed under the name Panax ginseng (ginseng). RNAcentral's name for it is "long non-coding RNA (PGIN_LNC000817)". The record is from RNAcentral. Lineage: Eukaryota; Viridiplantae; Streptophyta; Magnoliopsida; Apiales; Araliaceae.
CUCGUCGCCAUCCCCAUGUUGUGAUGCUGCUGCUGCCGCUACUGCUUCAGCUAACUCCUCAGGACUCAGAGCCCCCAGAUGCCCGCCCAGUAUCUUCAGAAGAUCUCGAUCUCGACAUAUAGCUCUCACACAGUCAGCCGGAGUAUGAACAACUGGAUGGCUCGAUGACUAUGUAGACUGGGUAGAAGAGCAGCCUGAGCCACUGAAGGAUGGGCGUCAUCGUUGUCCUUGACCUUUAAUGUAGUUCUUCUUCACAACAGACGCCCUCUCCCACAACUCUUGAUCAAUAGGCGGACGUGGGCUGCCUUCAGGAUAACGCUCAUUCAAUAAACGCUUAUAAGUAUCCUAUCAUCAUGUUAACAAUUAAAUAGUUAAAAAUAAAUUAAUUCUAUAAGCAUUGAUAAACAAGAUCAAGUUGUUAAAAUUUAUUACCGCUAUCUGGAUAACAUCAGGCAGACCAUCA